Long non-coding RNA from Tachysurus fulvidraco (yellow catfish), 400 nucleotides. RefSeq lists it as uncharacterized. NCBI's taxonomy places the organism in Eukaryota, Metazoa, Chordata, Actinopteri, Siluriformes, Bagridae. The transcript has 3 exons. The record is from RefSeq and is a predicted model, not a curated record.
GGUUACCAAGGUUCUGACGUUACCAUUAAGAGCCUCUUGUAUUGCCAUUCUAGUGUGGAUAUAGAGGAGGAUCCCGAUGUGAAAGAUACUAUGACAAUGAGAGAGCUCCGGAAGGCCUUUGAGACUUCAGUGAAGGUUUCAGGAGCCAAAGCACACGCACCAAUGGCCAGCUUUACAGAGAACAGCGCCAGGUUUAGGAAGACGGCAACAACAGAGGCCACAGAGCUCCACAAACUUCUGGGCAGCCAAACGAAUCUGAACCAGAUCACUUAACAUUACAGCUAAAUCAUUGUACUGUUGAAAUGUGAUACUUACCUAUAACAUUAAAAGUUCAUUCAACAAUUGUUGAGAGAAAACUCUACUUUUCUCUUUACUAUUUUAUAAAUAUUACCUUUGUAGA